This 465-nucleotide ribosomal RNA is filed under the name Vreelandella stevensii. RNAcentral's name for it is "partial 16S ribosomal RNA". It matches the Rfam family "Bacterial small subunit ribosomal RNA", at positions 338 to 795 of the family's 1533-position model. The record is from RNAcentral. Lineage: Bacteria; Pseudomonadati; Pseudomonadota; Gammaproteobacteria; Oceanospirillales; Halomonadaceae.
CCUACGGGCGGCAGCAGUGGGGAAUAUUGGACAAUGGGGGGAACCCUGAUCCAGCCAUGCCGCGUGUGUGAAGAAGGCCCUCGGGUUGUAAAGCACUUUCAGUGAGGAAGAACGCCUGGUGGUUAAUACCCAUCAGGAAUGACAUCACUCACAGAAGAAGCACCGGCUAACUCCGUGCCAGCAGCCGCGGUAAUACGGAGGGUGCGAGCGUUAAUCGGAAUUACUGGGCGUAAAGCGCGCGUAGGUGGCUUGAUAAGCCGGUUGUGAAAGCCCCGGGCUCAACCUGGGAACGGCAUCCGGAACUGUCAAGCUAGAGUGCAGGAGAGGAAGGUAGAAUUCCCGGUGUAGCGGUGAAAUGCGUAGAGAUCGGGAGGAAUACCAGUGGCGAAGGCGGCCUUCUGGACUGACACUGACACUGAGGUGCGAAAGCGUGGGUAGCAAACAGGAUUAGAUACCCGUGUAGUC